RNAcentral lists this ribosomal RNA (254 nucleotides) under uncultured bacterium. RNAcentral describes it as "partial 16S ribosomal RNA". It matches the Rfam family "Bacterial small subunit ribosomal RNA", at positions 524 to 776 of the family's 1533-position model. The record is from RNAcentral.
UACGUAGGGGGCAAGCGUUGUCCGGAAUCAUUGGGCGUAAAGAGCGUGUAGGCGGUCUGGUAGGUCCGCUGUGAAAACUCGAGGCUCAACCUCGAGACGCCGGUGGAAACCAUCAGACUAGAGUCCGGAAGAGGAGAGCGGAAUUCCUGGUGUAGCGGUGAAAUGCGCAGAUAAUCAGGAAGAACACCCGUGGCUAAGGCGGCUCUCUAGUACGGUACUGACGCUGAGACGCGAAAGCGUGGGGAGCAAACAGG